CUGCACUAAAACUGGAACAAUACAGAGAAGAUUAGCACGGCCCUCGUGCAAGAAUGACACACAAAAUUGUGAAGCGUUCCAUAUUUUA
This is a small nuclear RNA of Columba livia (rock pigeon), 88 nucleotides long. Lineage: Eukaryota; Metazoa; Chordata; Aves; Columbiformes; Columbidae. The record is from RefSeq and is a predicted model, not a curated record.